AAGGCGCUUGAGAGAACUCGGGUGAAGGAACUAGGCAAAAUGGCACCGUAACUUCGGGAGAAGGUGCGCCGGUGAGGGUGAAGCAUUUACUGCGUAAGCCCAUGCCGGUCGAAGAUACCAGGCCGCUGCGACUGUUUAUUAAAAACACAGCACUCUGCAAACACGAAAGUGGACGUAUAGGGUGUGACGCCUGCCCGGUGCCGGAAGGUUAAUUGAUGGGGUUAGUUUUCGGACGAAGCUCUUGAUCGAAGCCCCGGUAAACGGCGGCCGUAACAAUAACGGUCCUAAGGUAGCGAAAUUCCUUGUCGGGUAAGUUCCGACCUGCACGAAUGGCGUAACGACUUCCCCGCUGUCUCCAACAUCGACUCAGCGAAAUUGAAUUGCCUGUCAAGAUGCAGGCUUCCCGCGGUUAGACGGAAAGACCCCGUGCACCUUUACUACAGCUUCGCACUGGCUUCAGGCACAACAUGUGCAGGAUAGGUGGUAGGCUUUGAACCAGAGACGCCAGUUUCUGGGGAGCCACCCUUGAGAUACCACUCUUGUUCUGCUUGAAGUCUAACCGCGGUCCGUUAUCCGGAUCCGGGACCCUGCGUGGUGGGUAGUUUGACUGGGGCGGUCUCCUCCCAAAUAGUAACGGAGGAGCACGAAGGUUAGCUAAUCACGGUCGGACAUCGUGAGGUUAGUGCAAUGGCAUAAGCUAGCUUAACUGCGAGACAGACACGUCGAGCAGGUACGAAAGUAGGUCAUAGUGAUCCGGUGGUUCUGUAUGGAAGGGCCAUCGCUCAACGGAUAAAAGGUACUCCGGGGAUAACAGGCUGAUACCGCCCAAGAGUUCAUAUCGACGGCGGUGUUUGGCACCUCGAUGUCGGCUCAUCACAUCCUGGGGCUGAAGUCGGUCCCAAGGGUAUGGCUGUUCGCCAUUUAAAGUGGUACGCGAGCUGGGUUUAGAACGUCGUGAGACAGUUCGGUCCCUAUCUGCCGUGGGUGUAGGAUACUUGAGAGGAGUUGCCCCUAGUACGAGAGGACCGGGGUGAACGAUCCACUGGUGGACCUGUUGUUGCGCCAGCAGCAGUGCAGGGUAGCUAUGAUCGGACAGGAUAACCGCUGAAGGCAUCUAAGCGGGAAGCCCCCCUCAAAACAAGGUAUCCCUGAGGACCGUGGUAGACCACCACGUCGAUAGGCCGGAGAUGUAAGUGCAGCAAUGCAUUCAGU
This 1212-nucleotide ribosomal RNA is filed under the name Stygamoeba regulata. RNAcentral's name for it is "partial Bacterial large subunit ribosomal RNA". It matches the Rfam family "Bacterial large subunit ribosomal RNA", at positions 1683 to 2891 of the family's 2925-position model. The record is from RNAcentral. Lineage: Eukaryota; Discosea; Stygamoebida.